This 253-nucleotide ribosomal RNA is filed under the name uncultured bacterium. Its description in RNAcentral is "partial 16S ribosomal RNA". It matches the Rfam family "Bacterial small subunit ribosomal RNA", at positions 524 to 776 of the family's 1533-position model. The record is from RNAcentral.
UACAGGGGGGGCAAGCGUUGUUCGGAAUUACUGGGCGUAAAGGGUUCGUAGGUGGCCACCUAAGUCAGACGUGAAAUCCCUCAGCUUAACUGGGGAACUGCGUCUGAUACUGGGUGGCUUGAGUGCAGGAGAGGAAUGCGGAAUUCCAGGUGUAGCGGUGAAAUGCGUAGAUAUCUGGAGGAAUACCGGUGGCGAAGGCGGCAUCCUGGACCGGCAUUGACGCUGAGGAGCGAAAGCUAGGGGAGCAAACGGG